UACCCAGGUGUUGUGGUCCCUGUAGGUAAAGGUGGGGACAUCUCAUACAAAGGUAGCGGUGUGGUACCCAGGUGUGGUGAUACCUGUAGGUAAAGGUGGGGACAUCUUAUACAAAGGUAGCUGUGUGGUACCCAGGUGUGGUGGUCCCUGUAGGUAAAGGUGGGGACAUCUUAUACAAAGGUAGCUGUGUGGUACCCAGGUGUGGUGAUACCUGUAGGUAAAGGUGGGGACAUCUUAUACAAAGGUAGCUGUGUGGUACCCAGGUGUUGUGGUCCCUGUAGGUAAAGGUGGGGACAUCUUAUACAAAGGUAGCUGUGUGGUACCCAGGUGUGGUGGUCCCUGUAGGUAAAGGUGGGGACAUCUUAUACAAAGGUAGCUGUGUGGUACCCAGGUGUUGUGGUCCCUGUAGGUAAAGGUGGGGACAUCUUAUACAAAGGUAGCUGUGUGGUACCCAGGUGUGGUGGUCCAUGUAGGUAAAGGUGGGGACAUCUUAUACAAAGGUAGCUGUGUGGUACCCAGGUGUGGUGAUCCCUAUAGGUAAAGGUGGGGACAUCUUAUACAAAGGUAGCUGUGUGGUACCCAGGUGUGGUGGUUCAUGUAGGUAAAGGUGGGGACAUCUUAUACAAAGGUAGCUGUGUGGUACCCAGGUGUGGUGGUCCCUGUAGGUAAAGGUGGGGACAUCUUAUACAAAGGUAGCUGUGUGGUACCCAGGUGUUGUGGUCCCUGUAGGUAAAGGUGGGGACAUCUUAUACAAAGGUAGCUGUGUGGUACCCAGGUGUGGUGGUCCAUGUAGGUAAAGGUGGGGACAUCUUAUACAAAGGUAGCUGUGUGGUACCCAGGUGUGGUGAUCCCUAUAGGUAAAGGUGGGGACAUCUUAUACAAAGGUAGCUGUGUGGUACCCAGGUGUGGUGGUUCAUGUAGGUAAAGGUGGGGACAUCUUAUACAAAGGUAGCUGUGUGGUACCCAGGUGUUGUGGUCCCUGUAGGUAAAGGUGGGGACAUCUUAUACAAAGGUAGCUGUGUGGUACCCAGGUGUGGUGGUCCCUAUAGGUAAAGGUGGGGACAUCUUAUACAAAGGUAGCUGUGUGGUACCCAGGUGUUGUGGUCCAUGUAGGUAAAGGUGGGGACAUCUUAUACAAAGGUAGCUGUGUGGUACCCAGGUGUGGUGAUCCCUGUAGGUAAAGGUGGGGACAUCUUAUACAAAGGUAGCUGUGUGGUACCCAGGUGUUGUGGUCCCUAUAGGUAAAGGUGGGGACAUCUUAUACAAAGGUAGCUGUGUGGUACCCAGGUGUGGUGGUCCCUAUAGGUAAAGGUGGGGACAUCUUAUACAAAUGUAGCUGUGUGGUACCCAGGU
This is a long non-coding RNA of Pecten maximus, 1353 nucleotides long. RefSeq lists it as uncharacterized. The record is from RefSeq and is a predicted model, not a curated record. NCBI's taxonomy places the organism in Eukaryota, Metazoa, Mollusca, Bivalvia, Pectinida, Pectinidae. The transcript is spliced from 5 exons.